GUGGGGAAUCUUGCGCAAUGGCCGAAAGGCUGACGCAGCGACGCCGCGUGUGGGAGGAAGCUCUUCGGGGUGUAAACCACUGUUGCCCGGGACGAACACACUCUUUUGAGAGUGCUGACGGUACCGGGUGAGGAAGCACCGGCUAACUCUGUGCCAGCAGCCGCGGUAAUACAGAGGGUGCGAGCGUUGUCCGGAAUCACUGGGCGUAAAGGGCGCGUAGGUGGUGGCUUAAGCGUGCGGUGAAAGCUCGGGGCUCAACCCCGAGUCGGCCGUGCGAACUGGGCUCACUGGAGCAUAGUAGAGGCAGGUGGAAUUCCGGGUGUAGCGGUGGAAUGCGUAGAGAUCCGGAAGAACACCGGUGGCGAAGGCGGCCUGCUGGGCUAUGGCUGACACUGAGGCGCGACAGCGUGGGGAGCAAACAGGAUUAGAAACCCCGGUAGUCC
Molecule: ribosomal RNA, 443 nt
Filed under: uncultured bacterium
Lineage: Bacteria
Description: bacterial SSU rRNA
Rfam family: Bacterial small subunit ribosomal RNA
Source: RNAcentral